Long non-coding RNA from Cygnus olor (mute swan), 3951 nucleotides. RefSeq lists it as uncharacterized. Lineage: Eukaryota; Metazoa; Chordata; Aves; Anseriformes; Anatidae. The record is from RefSeq and is a predicted model, not a curated record. The transcript is spliced from 3 exons.
GGCGUGGCGAGCAUGCGCGGGGAGGGGGGGGGGGGGGGGUGGGGAAGGGCUGGGCGGGAAAGGUGCGGCGCCAUGUUGGGGCGCCAUGUUGUGUGGGGUUCCCUCACAGAACAUGGCAGAGCUGUGGAGCGCCCUGUUCUUGCUGGUGGCCCUUCCCUCUGUCCUCCCUGUGCACUGUGUGGCCUGGCAGCUGCCCUGCGGGCUCUCCAUGAUAAACCUUAACAGAGCUGCUGCUCAGAGCCUGCAGCUCAGAGGAACCCCUGCCACCAUGGUGGUAAUCACAGGGGAAAUAAUUACAGGCUGAGAGGAAAGGGAACAGCCAGGAGGGCUGUCAGGGUUUGUCUCGCUGAGGCCCCCCCCAAAAAAAUAGAUUUAACUCCGUGCCCAACUCCUCAGGCGCAGAGCUUCACUCUGCCAAAAUUUUCAUCUAUUAUUCAGUAUUACUUCAGUCUAUUUAUUUAAAGCUUUCUUCCCCUGUUUUUGCCUCUCCAGAGACUGGAUGCUAAUAUCUGCUAAAUUUAGCUAUCAUCUGAAUAAAGCUUAUUCAAUUAUAGCCGAUGCUGGCAGUAGCAAGCUGGUACUGGAGGAGAAAGAAAGAGGUUUAUUCUCCCUCAAAUAUGUCCUGCAGGGAGAGAGAGAGACAAGCAGCGCUCGUUGUUCUGCUCAGUAAUGAUCUCUAGUGGUGACUGAUAACAGUUAAACUGGGGUUCAUUAAAAGGCAUCCAUUCUUUGCAGAUUGUUCUCCAGCCUCUGCAGAUGUCACCUCAACAUGCAUCUUUUUUUAUUGUUAGUUCUCUUCUGAAUCUCUGGGUGGUUCCUGGCAUCUUGUGUCAGUACCUGGCAUUGCUAUGGUGCUAAUACAUCUUCCUGGACAAAACCUAUUUGGUGCUUAUUCCUGGGAAACAUUAACCACCUACUUCCUAUUCGCGUCUGGAUUCAGGGGGCUAUGUAGGAGUCUCAGCUUGAAGGAAUGUUCUGAAGAAUGUUAGAAAACAGAAGCUGAGAGCAGCUUUAGAAGUAGAAUACAACAAUUGCAAACAUUCAUUUAGUUUAGGAGUGCUUUUUAAACAGUCUUAUGAUUUUGGGAAAUGGGAUCCUGAUGUUUGAACACUCGGUAUUGUCCAUACUGACAAAUACAUCUGCAUUUUUUUCUUUCAAAAUGAAUCAGGCCGAUUUUCAAGCUGAUUUAUAACAGAUUUUCACCUUUGUAUGUUCCUUCACACGUGGAUUAUAGAACGUGCUUUGCUUCAGACAGCUGUCCGGUUUCACCACGUCCAGUGUUCUGUAUUUUCCCUGGAACUGCAAUACAUUAUGAGGUCUUAUUCAAAGCUCUUGUCAUUAAUAUUUAUCUGUGUUUGCCAACCUCUAGCGGUUUGUGUUGUGGUCACCGUUCCUACAAAGAACCGUGGAUCACUGCCUGCCCCGUACCUCAAGUACAUAGGAACCUUUGUCCUUUAACUGUGUGACAUGCCUUUGAAAAGUGAUUUGACUUUCUGGUCUACUGUGUUUGAACAAGUGCUGGACAACGCUUUGAUUCGUGUCCUUGCGUGGGUAACCAAGAAACUGGCUCUGCAUCGCACAGCUUCUGCAAAUAAUGUUGUCUCAGGCUGAGACUAAAUCAGCUUCCCACUGUACUAGAUGCUGCAGUUAGAAAUGAACUCUGCCCCUGGAAAAGACAGUUGUUAUUCUCCUGUACAGAUGAGAUAAGGAGGCACAAAGAUUAAGCACCUCACAAAAUAUCUGAGGCUGGUUGUGUUCAAACUAGAUCUUCUGAAUGACAACGUGGGAGCUCAACCCAAAACGUCUUGUCUCUGUGUGCUGCUUUUUGGCUCCAAAUGGGAAGACAGCCAGCAUCAGUACCCUUGCUGAAGCUGUAAGAGCCAACUUUGUGGACAGAGGUGAUGUUUUUAAGAACAUAAAUGUUAAAUUUGGGGAAAAAAAACAAACAAACUACAAACAUACAAGUCUUUCGUUGGAGCUUAGAAUACCAGGAGAAAGCACUUUGUUAGUAAAUCUUGCAGGUAAUAAAGACUUGGUGUCACAAGGUUUUUGUGGUGAGAAAUAUUGGAAGUUUGCAUCCAGAAUCACAAAAAUGACUGAACUUCCAGUGCUCUCUACUCUUUAUCUUUGCCUGAAGGUAAAAAUCUCCUCUGAGGGAUGUCUGCUGCUGCUUGCCUCCUAGAAUGGCGCAGGCAAAGAGGUCUGCAGCUGGAGGUUAACAAUUUCCCUUUCUCUUUCCCACCACUCUCCUUAAAUGUCAGGAAAGGGAGGAAGCAGUAGAAGGAUCUUGACGUUUUUCUUUUGUUUCACCUUUGGUUUGCAACUUAACUCUUUAUUCCUCCCUUACAUUGGUUGAUUUGCUGUUCCUAGCUUGCUUUUGUGCAUUAGUCAGAACUACAGGUGUUCUGUGCCAGAAUCUGUGAAAUUCGCCCCCCAAAAUAUUCCCAGGUUCCCCAGCAAAUGGAUAGAAAUGGAAACGGGAUUUUGAAACAAGGUAUUGAGUGUAACAUCAGAUUCGUUAACUAGAGAGAUUUGUAAAAAGGCUGUAGCUCUCAAUUCUGGAAAUAUAGUGGCCUUUUAUAACACAAAGUCUAAUUUCUUCCAGGAAGGAUGUGUUUUAUCCGUGAUUACAAAGGAAAUAAUGAUUUCUCAUGUAAAGAGUAUUAGAGCUGAGCAUUCUUAAGUAACCCCAUGCUGUGCAGAUGUGAAACUGGAGACUGUCAGUCAUUGUUGAAUGUGUCUGCUUUCAAAUAAGUGACAAAGAGGUGGAAGGCUGUGUGUUUUGUUCCCAACCUCUCUGCUCCAGGGCCUUAAAAUGUUUACAAGCCCCCGAGCUGGCUCUGGAUGCAGCGAAGUUUAGCUAGUUAUGCUUGUCACCUACCAUUACGGGUUCGGAGACAGACAGGAGAUGGGCUGGGGUUUCACAGGCUUUUGCUGCCUUAGGCAGGCCUUGUUAGCUGAUUUCUCUGCUUUGAUGCAGAGCAGGGCUGCAGGAGCGUUGCUGGCUGCUGCAGCUCCUGUCUGCUCCAUCCUCUGCUGGCACUAGUCCGACCUCCUGAUGGCGGUUCAGUGUCCGAAGGUGUGGCAUGUCCCCACUGUUCCCCAGUCCCUUCAGGCUCAGGAAGGAGCCACUUAAGAGAUAGCAGGAAGAGCAGGGGGAGCAGAGGAAGGAAGGGAUCAGGAAGGUAUGGCAGAGAAGAGGACGGUCCUGGCCAGAUCAGUGGGUCCCCUCCCCGGUUGUCACUGGUGUGGGACUGCGAGCAAGGCAGCAUCAAGGAAUCGGCUGCAAGCAGCAGGGUGGCUGCCUGCUUGUUGCCACAGUGCACACUUUGUGGUUUCCUAGUAUGUGUUUUUUCUUUUUUUUGUUUAUUUUCCAGAAUUGCUCCAAACCACACAAAAUUUCAUGUCAGGCUUGCCCAGAUCAAGGAGAUGUUCAGUCCCGUGGCUGGCAUGCUGCAUUUUCCAGCAUGGUGCCAGACCUCUCCUUUCACCCUGCUUUCACUAUUCUUCCCCCUUCAUUCUUCUUCUUUCCUUGCUUUGCUCUCUCUAGUAGCUGUAUUUAGUCCUGCCUUAUGUUAUUCCCUGUCUCCCUGACUGCUCUCUCUUUCUAGCCCCCUCCGACCAGGACCAGCGAUUUCAGAGGCCGUGGAAAGGCGACAGUUCAACCUGACCUUUUACCAUUUGUCUGUGAGUCCCUGCAGUUGAGUCUGCCUAAAUUACACGGCUGGGUCUCUCCUCUCCUCUCUUCCUUUCUCUCACUCCUUUCCUUCCCAUUCCAUCCAGCUCUUCUCCACUGAGUGUUACCGACCUGUGGGGAGGCGAAGGGCAUCCCCAGGGAGCUCCUGACACCCUUAUGCUCCUAAAACACUGAAAAUCCCCCAGCAUGUGCUUGGAAGCCCCCUGCUUUUGGGAUGUAAGGGCAAUCCCAGAGGCACUGGGUACCAGGCGCCC